ACUGCAUUCGAAACUGGCAGGCUUGAGUCUUGUAGAGGGGGGUAGAAUUCCAGGUGUAGCGGUGAAAUGCGUAGAGAUCUGGAGGAAUACCGGUGGCGAAGGCGGCCCCCUGGACAAAGACUGACGCUCAGGUGCGAAAGCGUGGGGAGCAAACAGGAUUAGAUACCCUGGUAGUCCACGCCGUAAACGAUGUCUACUUGGAGGUUGUGCCCUUGAGGCGUGGCUUCCGGAGCUAACGCGUUAAGUAGACCGCCUGGGGAGUACGGCCGCAAGGUUAAAACUCAAAUGAAUUGACGGGGGCCCGCACAAGCGGUGGAGCAUGUGGUUUAAUUCGAUGCAACGCGAAGAACCUUACCUGGUCUUGACAUCCACAGAACUUUCCAGAGAUGGAUUGGUGCCUUCGGGAACUGUGAGACAGGUGCUGCAUGGCUGUCGUCAGCUCGUGUUGUGAAAUGUUGGGUUAAGUCCCGCAACGAGCGCAAC
Molecule: ribosomal RNA, 483 nt
Filed under: Salmonella enterica
Lineage: Bacteria; Pseudomonadati; Pseudomonadota; Gammaproteobacteria; Enterobacterales; Enterobacteriaceae
Description: bacterial SSU rRNA
Rfam family: Bacterial small subunit ribosomal RNA
Source: RNAcentral